UGGGGAAUAUUGGACAAUGGGGGGAACCCUGAUCCAGCAAUACCGCGUGUGUGAAGAAGGCCUUCGGGUUGUAAAGCACUUUAGUUGGGGAGGAAGUUGCGUAGUUUAAGAGAUAACGUAAUUGACUGUACCCAAAGAAUAAGCACCGGCUAACUCUGUGCCAGCAGCCGCGGUAAUACAGAGGGUGCGAGCGUUAAUCGGAAUUACUGGGCGUAAAGGGCGCGUAGGCGGUUAUAUAAGUUGAAUGUGAAAUCCCUGGGCUUAACCUAGGAACUGCAUGCAAGACUGUAUGACUAGAGUGCUGUAGAGGGUAGUGGAAUUUCCGGUGUAGCGGUGAAAUGCGUAGAUAUCGGAAGGAACACCAGUGGCGAAGGCGGCUACCUGGACAGACACUGACGCUGAGGCGCGAGAGCGUGGGGAGCAAACAGG
This 429-nucleotide ribosomal RNA is filed under the name uncultured bacterium. Its description in RNAcentral is "bacterial SSU rRNA". It matches the Rfam family "Bacterial small subunit ribosomal RNA", at positions 355 to 776 of the family's 1533-position model. The record is from RNAcentral.